Molecule: long non-coding RNA, 1929 nt
Filed under: Homo sapiens (human)
Lineage: Eukaryota; Metazoa; Chordata; Mammalia; Primates; Hominidae
Description: HSALNT0340959
Source: RNAcentral
UUGACAUUUACCUAGGCACAGCUCACAGGCAUGAUAAUGACUCUCAUAUGUGGACCCCACAAGUAGGAGUAAUUUUGACUCUUGUAACUUGCUUUAGAAACAUAAGUGAUGUCUUAGAUCUCUUUCUGGCGAAAAGGUCACAGAAGAUUAUAACAGCCUCAGAUAAUUUGCAGCCCUUGGCUUGUACAGAGAGUGUCAGAACAGAACCCAGCAGAAAGGAGAAAUUGUGAGUCUCAUAUGUACACCCAGCUGACUGUAAGGACUGUCACCAUCUUACAUACAUGAAGCCAACUGUCACACAUGAAAAGAGGACAUGUGUGGUAUUGUAAAUCUCAUCUCGAAUAUUCUCUCAGUGUGACUGUGAUAUAAAUCUUUGCCAAGCAUCUGUGUGAUUUGACUCUCCAAACUGGUUCCAGCCCAUAUAUACGGGAUUGUGAUCUCUACCUGGGCCAACCUCUAGAUAAUGUGACUCUCCUGCCUGGGCCCUUCUCUCAGUAAGGGUUGUGACAUAUCACUGGAUCUAACACCCAAGUGAUGUUACAUUCUUGCCUGGACCAUGCACAGAGACAUCAUUGUGACAUAUCACUGUGUCCACCACUUAGGUGAUGUAACUCUCCUCUCUGGAAUGGACCCUGAAUACGGAGUGGUAGUGACAUCUUCCUAGGCCAGACACACAGGUGUUGGUACUCUUUUUCCAGGGCUAUGUUUCAAGGAGGGCAUUGUGACAUAUCUCUGGACCUAUCACCGAGGUGAUAUGAUUCAACGCUUGGGCCUCACCGACGUAGAACAUUGUGACAUAAAAGUUAAACCUGCACCAAAGGUGUUGUAACUCUUUCACCUUGGUCCUGUCCUAAGGGAGCCCUGCAACAUAUCUCAGGACCCAGCACUCAGGAACAUUGUGACAUCGUUGGACAUAGCAUCUAGGAAAUGUGACUCUUCUCUCCUGCCUAGGUCCUGCCCACUAAAGGAAUUGUGACAUACCACUGAGUGCAAAACCUAGCCCUGUCUACAGUGGACAUGGUACCACAUGACUUGAGGCUGUAUCCAGGUGAUGUGACUCUUCUGACUUGGCCCUGCCUGCAAAGGAAAUUAUAAUAUAUCCUGAGCUCAGAAUCCAGGCGAUGAGACUCUCCUGCCUCUUUUCUGCCCACAAGUGAAAUUGUGACUUAUACCUGCGUUCAGCUCACAUGCACAAAUAUAACUAUUAUACCUGGACCCAGAAAGGAGAGAUAUUUGGACUCUUAUAGCCAGUCCUAUGGCCAUAAGUAAAGUAAAGGGUCCCCUGUUUGUAUAAAGCUCACAGAGGAUUAUGACACUCAGGCACAUCAUAUAAAGCCUGAGUGGUACAAAGAGUGUCAUAGCAGGGAACAGCAACCAGGUGCGAUUGUGACUCUUGGAUGCUCACCCAGCUGACCCGAUUGUCAUUCUCUCACAAGAACAGGGCCUACAUACAAGGCCAUGACCAUAGAUGAAAUUUUGACAUACGUGGACCAUACACCUAAGCGAAGGUGCCUGGGCCUGCCUACAAAGGGCACUUUUACGUAUUACUAGGACCAGCACGCAGGUGAUAUUGCACCAUAAACCUGAGACCAGUAUUCAUGCCUGAAGCCAGGACAUGUUCAGAAUGGUGACUCUCAUCUCUGGGCCUUUCCACAGGUGUUUUUGUGACAUAUACCUUUGCCCAGCUCCUGAGUGAUUUAAUAACUCUUCUUAGGUCUAGCACACACAUGAGAUUUUGACAUAUACCAGGGCCAGGCUCCUUAGUGAUUUGACUCUCUUGUUUUAACAGUGUCCUCAGCGGGGGAUUGUAGCAUACCUUUAUACCCAGCAUCUAGGUUACAUGAUUCUCCUCUCCUGCCUGAACCCUGCUUCCUGUGGAGAUUGUAGCAUUUCUAAGCACUGCUUCCAAAUGAUAUGACUUUCUUACCU